GUACACUCCUACGGGAGGCAGCAGUGGGGAAUUUUGGACAAUGGGCGAAAGCCUGAUCCAGCAAUGCCGCGUGUGUGAAGAAGGCCUUCGGGUUGUAAAGCACUUUUGUCCGGAAAGAAAUCCUUGGCUCUAAUACAGUCGGGGGAUGACGGUACCGGAAGAAUAAGCACCGGCUAACUACGUGCCAGCAGCCGCGGUAAUACGUAGGGUGCGAGCGUUAAUCGGAAUUACUGGGCGUAAAGCGUGCGCAGGCGGUUUGCUAAGACCGAUGUGAAAUCCCCGGGCUCAACCUGGGAACUGCAUUGGUGACUGGCAGGCUAGAGUAUGGCAGAGGGGGGUAGAAUUCCACGUGUAGCAGUGAAAUGCGUAGAGAUGUGGAGGAAUACCGAUGGCGAAGGCAGCCCCCUGGGCCAAUACUGACGCUCAUGCACGAAAGCGUGGGGAGCAAACAGGAUUAGAAACCCUUGUAGUCCCAUG
This 477-nucleotide ribosomal RNA is filed under the name uncultured organism. Its description in RNAcentral is "partial 16S ribosomal RNA". It matches the Rfam family "Bacterial small subunit ribosomal RNA", at positions 331 to 799 of the family's 1533-position model. The record is from RNAcentral.